CUGUUAAGUGUCAACAACUCAACGUGGCCGGAGAAGGUGUGUGAAACUCGUUGUGAGUUAUACUAAAGCAAAAUCUUGAGUAUUUAUUGUCUGAUAAACAUUAAAAACUGUCUGCGGAGGUUGAGUCGUCCUGCAGCCCCCGCUGGCUGCUCAUUGGCUGCAGCAUCUUUUUUCUAAGUUCUAAAAAAAUACCGUAGACGGCAAGGCACAAAUUUAGAUAUUAAUUUAUCUAAUUAAUCAAUAGCCUAUGCACAAAGACAAUAUGAUCUUUUUGUCCCCUUUUUGUUUUAAAGCUUGAUGAAAAGAGAGAGCGCAAGUUGCUGCAGCUGCGAGGAGGACAGUGAUGCACGCGUACAGGAGUGAUUGACAGUUCGUGGCACUGUGACGGGAACAGCAACAAAAGUUUAACUUCUGAUUCGUAAUCCACACGCUCUACUGGUAACACUGCUGACACCUAGUGAUUAGUUUUAGUAACAUUACUGAUAAAUACAAAUACAUUCUGUUACUAACAAUAAUGUCUUGUGUGAAGUGUUCAUUCUGUAUUAAAACAGUCUUUGUUUAAAAUAAUCUUUAAAACUACGCUUUGAAAUGAUUCUGGCAGUAUGUUUUUGAAAAUCUGUUCACCAAAAAGGUAAAAAUUGGCAUUGUGAAGUUAUAUUUAUAAUAAUCGUUUAUAUUUAUAUUUGUGUUUCAGGGCAGUUGGUGAAGACAGAGAGAUGUUGUGACGUCCAGGACAGUUCCUCCUUCAACACCAGACUCUGCUGGCACCUAUUUUUCAAGGACACCCUCAGAAUUACAACAAAUUUUAAGGCUUAAAAUUAUUGUGGUUUGGAGUAUAAUGAACAUAAUAUGAAUGUUUCAUAAAUUAUUUUGUGGAUUUUCUGAACCCUUAAUAACUGUUAUUUUUUCUUAUUUUGAGCAAAUUUGAGUCGUGACAUGUCAAAGGAGAACAAAAGCUGUGAACAGAAGAAGGGUCAGAUGUGUGUGUUCUGCGAAGUCCUGCAAACAUACUGGCAAAAUGAGAGUCAUCGAGGAACCAGCUUGUUCUUGAAACAUUGGUAAGAAAUUGUUCAUCUGCUACAUUGCACUGUCACUUCUGCUAGAGAUGCUUUGACCUUUUGUGAUAGGUUUUGAUUGUACUUAGUUUAUUAAAAAAUUACUGAAUUAGAUUUUAUUUGUUUUACUACACUGUAAUGUUAGUGUUCUGAUUAAAACAGUGUAACUGGGGGCUCUGA
RNAcentral lists this long non-coding RNA (1235 nucleotides) under Carassius auratus (goldfish). RNAcentral describes it as "lncRNA (ENSCARG00000023744.1)". The record is from RNAcentral. Lineage: Eukaryota; Metazoa; Chordata; Actinopteri; Cypriniformes; Cyprinidae.